RNAcentral lists this ribosomal RNA (1217 nucleotides) under metagenome. RNAcentral's name for it is "bacterial SSU rRNA". It matches the Rfam family "Bacterial small subunit ribosomal RNA", at positions 287 to 1498 of the family's 1533-position model. The record is from RNAcentral.
UUGGUCUGAGAGGACGAUCAGCCACACUGGAACUGAGACACGGUCCAGACUCCUACAGGAGGCAGCAGUGGGGAAUUUUGGACAAUGGGCGCAAGCCUGAUCCAGCCAUGCCGCGUGAGUGAAGAAGGCCUUCGGGUUGUAAAGCUCUUUCGGUGGGGACGAAACGGUUCGUGCUAAUACCACGGACUAAUGACGGUACCCGAAGAAGAAGCACCGGCUAACUACGUGCCAGCAGCCGCGGUAAUACGUAGGGUGCAGGCGUUAAUCGGAAUUACUGGGCGUAAAGCGUGCGCAGGCGGUUUGUUAAGACAGAUGUGAAAUCCCCGGGCUUAACCUGGGAACUGCGUUUGUAACUGGCAAGCUAGAGUGUGGCAGAGGGGGGUAGAAUUCCAGGAGUAGCAGUGAAAUGCGUAGAUAUCUGGAGGAAUACCGAUGGCGAAGGCAGCCCCCUGGGUUAACACUGACGCUCAUGCACGAAAGCGUGGGGAGCAAACAGGAUUAGAUACCCUGGUAGUCCACGCCCUAAACUAUGUCAACUGGUUGUCGGGGAAGCAAUUCCUUGGUAACGAAGCUAACGCGUGAAGUUGACCGCCUGGGGAGUACGGCCGCAAGGUUAAAACUCAAAGGAAUUGACGGGGACCCGCACAAGCGGUGUAUUAUGUGGAUUAAUUCGAUGCAACGCGAAAAACCUUACCUACCCUUGACAUGUACGGAACCUCGCAGAGAUGUGAGGGUGCUCGAAAGAGAACCGUAACACAGGUGCUGCAUGGCUGUCGUCAGCUCGUGUCGUGAGAUGUUGGGUUAAGUCCCGCAACGAGCGCAACCCUUGCCAUUAGUUGCUACAUUCAGUUGGGCACUCUAAUGGGACUGCCGGUGACAAACCGGAGGAAGGUGGGGAUGACGUCAAGUCCUCAUGGCCCUUAUGGGUAGGGCUUCACACGUAAUACAAUGGUAGGUACAGAGGGUAGCCAACCCGCGAGGGGGAGCCAAUCCCAGAAAGCCUAUCGUAUUCCGGAUUGUAGUCUGCAACUCGACUACAUGAAGCCGGAAUCGCUAGUAAUCGCGGAUCAGCAUGUCGCGGUGAAUACGUUCCCGGGUCUUGUACACACCGCCCGUCACACCAUGGGAGCGGGUUUCACCAGAAGUAGCUAGUCUAACCGCAAGGAGGACGGUUACCACGGUGAGAUUCGUGACUGGGGUGAAGUCGUAACAAGGUA